Molecule: ribosomal RNA, 406 nt
Filed under: uncultured bacterium
Lineage: Bacteria
Description: partial 16S ribosomal RNA
Rfam family: Bacterial small subunit ribosomal RNA
Source: RNAcentral
AUUGAACGCUGGCGGCAGGCCUAACACAUGCAAGUCGAACGAGUGGCGGACGGGUGAGUAAUGUCUGGGAAACUGCCUGAUGGAGGGGGCUAACUACUGGAAACGGUAGCUAAUACCGCAUACCAUCGGAUGUGCCCAGAUGGGAUUAGCUAGUGGGUGGGGUAAAGGCUCACCUAGGCGACGAUCCCGAGCUGGUCUGAGAGGAUGACCAGCCACACUGGAACUGAGACACGGUCCAGACUCCUACGUGAGGCAGCAGUGGGGAAUAGUGCACAAUGGGCGCAAGCCGGAUGCAGCCAUGCCGCGUGUAUGAAGAAGGCCUUCGGGUUGUAAAGUACUUUCAGCGGGGAGGCGUUACCCGCAGAAGAAGCACCGGCUAACUCCGUGCCAGCCGCCGCGGUAAUAC